This 465-nucleotide ribosomal RNA is filed under the name Vreelandella stevensii. RNAcentral's name for it is "partial 16S ribosomal RNA". It matches the Rfam family "Bacterial small subunit ribosomal RNA", at positions 338 to 795 of the family's 1533-position model. The record is from RNAcentral. Lineage: Bacteria; Pseudomonadati; Pseudomonadota; Gammaproteobacteria; Oceanospirillales; Halomonadaceae.
CCUACGGGUGGCAGCAGUGGGGAAUAUUGGUCAAUGGGCGAAAGCCUGAUCCAGCCAUGCCGCGUGUGUGAAGAAGGCCUUCGGGUUGUAAAGCACUUUCAGUGGGGAAGAAAGCCUUGGGGCUAAUACCCUCGAGGAAGGACAUCACCCACAGAAGAAGCACCGGCUAACUCCGUGCCAGCAGCCGCGGUAAUACGGAGGGUGCGAGCGUUAAUCGGAAUUACUGGGCGUAAAGCGCGCGUAGGCGGUCUGAUAAGCCGGUUGUGAAAGCCCCGGGCUCAACCUGGGAACGGCAUCCGGAACUGUCAGGCUAGAGUGCAGGAGAGGAAGGUAGAAUUCCCGGUGUAGCGGUGAAAUGCGUAGAGAUCGGGAGGAAUACCAGUGGCGAAGGUGGCCUUCUGGACUGACACUGACGCUGAGGUGCGAAAGCGUGGGUAGCAAACAGGAUUAGAUACCCUGGUAGUC